Molecule: ribosomal RNA, 449 nt
Filed under: uncultured bacterium
Lineage: Bacteria
Description: partial 16S ribosomal RNA
Rfam family: Bacterial small subunit ribosomal RNA
Source: RNAcentral
AACGAACGCUGGCGGCAUGCCUAACACAUGCAAGUCGAACGAAGCCUUCGGGCUUAGUGGCGCACGGGUGCGUAACGCGUGGGAAUCUGCCCUUGGGUUCGGAAUAACAGUUAGAAAUGACUGCUAAUACCGGAUGAUGUCUUCGGACCAAAGAUUUAUCGCCCAAGGAUGAGCCCGCGUAGGAUUAGGUAGUUGGUGGGGUAAUGGCCCACCAAGCCGACGAUCCUUAGCUGGUCUGAGAGGAUGAUCAGCCACACUGGGACUGAGACACGGCCCAGACUCCAACGGGAGGCAGCAGUGGGGAAUACUGGACAAUGGGCGAAAGCCUGAUCCAGCAAUGCCGCGUAAGUGAUGAAGGCCUUAGGGUUGUAAAGCUCUUUUACCAGGGAUGAUAAUGACAGUACCUGGAGAAUAAGCUCCGGCUAACUCCGUGCCAGCAGCCGCAGUAA